GACGAACGCUGGCGGCGUGCUUAACACAUGCAAGUCGAGCGGUAAGGCCCUUUCGGGGGUACGACGAGCGGCGAACGGGUGAGUAACACGUGGGUGACCUGCCCUCAGCUCUGGGAUAAGCCUGGGAAACCGGGUCUAAUACUGGAUAUGACUCCAUGACGCAUGUUGUGGGGUGGAAAGCCUUGUGCGGCUGAGGAUGGGCCCGCGGCCUAUCAGCUUGUUGGUGGGGUGAGGCCUACCAAGGCGACGACGGGUAGCCGGCCUGAGAGGGCGACCGGCCACACUGGGACUGAGACACGGCCCAGACUCCUACGGGAGGCAGCAGGUGGGGAAUCUUGCGCAAUGGGCGAAAGCCUGACGCAGCGACGCCGCGUGAGGGAUGACGGCCUUCGGUUGUAA
RNAcentral lists this ribosomal RNA (399 nucleotides) under uncultured bacterium. RNAcentral's name for it is "bacterial SSU rRNA". It matches the Rfam family "Bacterial small subunit ribosomal RNA", at positions 28 to 428 of the family's 1533-position model. The record is from RNAcentral.